This 879-nucleotide ribosomal RNA is filed under the name Nocardiopsis halotolerans. Its description in RNAcentral is "bacterial SSU rRNA". It matches the Rfam family "Bacterial small subunit ribosomal RNA", at positions 56 to 938 of the family's 1533-position model. The record is from RNAcentral. Lineage: Bacteria; Bacillati; Actinomycetota; Actinomycetes; Streptosporangiales; Nocardiopsidaceae.
UGCAAGUCGAGCGGUAAGGCCCUUCGGGGUACACGAGCGGCGAACGGGUGAGUAACACGUGAGCAACCUGCCCCUGACUCCGGGAUAAGCGGUGGAAACGCCGUCUAAUACCGGAUACGACCCUUGGCCUCCUGGCCGGGGGUGGAAAGUUUUUCGGUUGGGGAUGGGCUCGCGGCCUAUCAGCUUGUUGGUGGGGUAACGGCCUACCAAGGCGAUUACGGGUAGCCGGCCUGAGAGGGCGACCGGCCACACUGGGACUGAGACACGGCCCAGACUCCUGCGGGAGGCAGCAGUGGGGAAUAUUGCGCAAUGGGCGAAAGCCUGACGCAGCGACGCCGCGUGGGGGAUGACGGCCUUCGGGUUGUAAACCUCUUUUACCACCAACGCAGGCUCGGAGUUUUCUUCGGGUUGACGGUAGGUGGGGAAUAAGGACCGGCUAACUACGUGCCAGCAGCCGCGGUAAUACGUAGGGUCCGAGCGUUGUCCGGAAUUAUUGGGCGUAAAGAGCUCGUAGGCGGCGUGUCGCGUCUGCUGUGAAAGACCGGGGCUUAACUCCGGUUUGGCAGUGGAUACGGGCAUGCUAGAGGUAGGUAGGGGAGACUGGAAUUCCUGGUGUAGCGGUGAAAUGCGCAGAUAUCAGGAGGAACACCGGUGGCGAAGGCGGGUCUCUGGGCCUUACCUGACGCUGAGGAGCGAAAGCAUGGGGAGCGAACAGGAUUAGAUACCCUGGUAGUCCAUGCCGUAAACGUUGGGCGCUAGGUGUGGGGACUUUCCACGGUUUCCGCGCCGUAGCUAACGCAUUAAGCGCCCCGCCUGGGGAGUACGGCCGCAAGGCUAAAACUCAAAGGAAUUGACGGGGGCCCGCACAAGCGGCGGAGC